AUACGGAGGGUGCGAGCGUUAAUCGGAAUUACUGGGCGUAAAGCGUACGUAGGCGGUUGGUUAAGUUAGAUGUGAAAGCCCUGGGCUUAACCUGGGAACUGCAUUUAAAACUGGCGAACUAGAGUUGAGUAGAGGGGAGUGGAAUUUCAGGUGUAGCGGUGAAAUGCGUAGAGAUCUGAAGGAACACCAGUGGCGAAGGCGACUCCCUGGACUCGAACUGACGCUGAGGUACGAAAGCGUGGGUAGCAAACGGGAUUAGAAACCCUAGUAGUCC
Molecule: ribosomal RNA, 274 nt
Filed under: uncultured bacterium
Lineage: Bacteria
Description: partial 16S ribosomal RNA
Rfam family: Bacterial small subunit ribosomal RNA
Source: RNAcentral